GACUCCACGAAGUUGGAUUCGCUAGUAAUCGCGCAUCAGCCAUGGCGCGGUGAAUACGUUCCCGGGCCUUGUACACACCGCCCGUCAAGCCAUGGGAGCCGGGAGCGCCUGAAGUCCGGGACCGCGAGGACCGGCCUAGGGCGAAACUGGUGACUGGGGCUAAGUCGUAACAAGGUAAC
Molecule: ribosomal RNA, 179 nt
Filed under: uncultured bacterium
Lineage: Bacteria
Description: partial 16S ribosomal RNA
Rfam family: Bacterial small subunit ribosomal RNA
Source: RNAcentral